CCUACGGGCGGCUGCAGUGGGGAAUAUUGGACAAUGGGGGCAACCCUGAUCCAGCCAUGCCGCGUGUGUGAAGAAGGCCCUCGGGUUGUAAAGCACUUUCAGUGAGGAAGAACGCCUGGUGGUUAAUACCCAUCAGGAAAGACAUCACUCACAGAAGAAGCACCGGCUAACUCCGUGCCAGCAGCCGCGGUAAUACGGAGGGUGCGAGCGUUAAUCGGAAUUACUGGGCGUAAAGCGCGCGUAGGUGGCUUGAUAAGCCGGUUGUGAAAGCCCCGGGCUCAACCUGGGAACGGCAUCCGGAACUGUCAAGCUAGAGUGCAGGAGAGGAAGGUAGAAUUCCCGGUGUAGCGGUGAAAUGCGUAGGGAUCGGGAGGAAUACCAGUGGCGAAGGCGGCCUUCUGGACUGACACUGACACUGAGGUGCGAAAGCGUGGGUAGCAAACAGGAUUAGAUACCCUGGUAGUC
This 465-nucleotide ribosomal RNA is filed under the name Vreelandella stevensii. RNAcentral's name for it is "partial 16S ribosomal RNA". It matches the Rfam family "Bacterial small subunit ribosomal RNA", at positions 338 to 795 of the family's 1533-position model. The record is from RNAcentral. Lineage: Bacteria; Pseudomonadati; Pseudomonadota; Gammaproteobacteria; Oceanospirillales; Halomonadaceae.